This 332-nucleotide unclassified non-coding RNA is filed under the name soil metagenome. RNAcentral's name for it is "partial contains 5.8S ribosomal RNA, internal transcribed spacer 2, and large subunit ribosomal RNA". The stretch from base 1 to 120 matches the Rfam family "5.8S ribosomal RNA", at positions 35 to 154 of the family's 154-position model. The record is from RNAcentral.
GAUGAAGAACGUAGUAAAAUGCGAUAAGUAGUGUGAAUUGCAGAAUUCAGUGAAUCAUCGAAUCUUUGAACGCACAUUGCGCCCUUUGGUAUUCCUUAGGGCAUGCCUGUUCGAGCGUCAUUUAAACCUUCAAGCUCAGCUUGGUGUUGGGUGACUGUCCGCUUCACCGCGGACUCGCCUCAAAAUUAUUGGCGGCCGGUACAUUGGCUUCGAGCGCAGCAGAAACGCGAACUCGGGCCCGUCGUAUUGGCUCCCAGAAGCUAUCUUCACAAUUUUGACCUCGGAUCAGGUAGGGAUACCCGCUGAACUUAAGCAUAUCAAUAAGCGGAGGA